This 468-nucleotide ribosomal RNA is filed under the name uncultured bacterium. Its description in RNAcentral is "partial 16S ribosomal RNA". It matches the Rfam family "Bacterial small subunit ribosomal RNA", at positions 28 to 507 of the family's 1533-position model. The record is from RNAcentral.
GACGAACGCUGGCGGCGUGCUUAACACAUGCAAGUCGAACGGAAAGGCCCUGCUUUUGUGGGGUGCUCGAGUGGCGAACGGGUGAGUAACACGUGAGUAACCUGCCCUUGACUUUGGGAUAACUUCAGGAAACUGGGGCUAAUACCGGAUAGGAGCUCCUGCUGCAUGGUGGGGGUUGGAAAGUUUCGGCGGUUGGGGAUGGACUCGCGGCUUAUCAGCUUGUUGGUGGGGUAGUGGCUUACCAAGGCUUUGACGGGUAGCCGGCCUGAGAGGGUGACCGGCCACAUUGGGACUGAGAUACGGCCCAGACGCCUACGGGAGGCAGCAGUGGGGAAUAUUGCACAAUGGGCGGAAGCCUGAUGCAGCAACGCCGCGUGCGGGAUGACGGGCUUCGGGUUGUAAACCGCUUUCGCAGGUGACGAAGCGUGAGUGACGGUAAUGGGUAAGGAAGCACCGGCUAACUACGUG